GAUACAGUCCCAGAGAAUGAAAUGCUCUGCUUAAACACAGGACAGGUACAGCACAGGCAGCUGCAGGGCUAGCCACACAUCCCUGCACUAAAGCACUGACAUGCCUCAGCCAGGAUGGUGAGGUACUAUCCCAGAGAUGGGAAGAUGCUCAGUUGUUAUGGGCCAUUCUGCCCUAGGUCCCU
RNAcentral lists this small RNA (182 nucleotides) under Chrysemys picta bellii (western painted turtle). Its description in RNAcentral is "TUC338 (ENSCPBG00000027887.1)". The record is from RNAcentral. Lineage: Eukaryota; Metazoa; Chordata; Testudines; Emydidae.